GAUGAACGCUGGCGGCGUGCCUAAUACAUGCAAGUCGAGCGAACGGACGAGAAGCUUGCUUCUCUGAUGUUAGCGGCGGACGGGUGAGUAACACGUGGAUAACCUACCUAUAAGACUGGGAUAACUUCGGGAAACCGGAGCUAAUACCGGAUGAUAUUUUGAACCGCAUGGUUCAAAAGUGAAAGACGGUCUUGCUGUCACUUAUAGAUGGAUCCGCGCUGCAUUAGCUAGUUGGUAAGGUAACGGCUUACCAAGGCAACGAUGCAUAGCCGACCUGAGAGGGGGAUCGGCGACACUGGAACUGGGACACGGUCCAGACUCCUGCGGGAGGCAGCAGUAGGGAAUCUUCCGCAAUGGGCGAAAGCCUGACGGAGCAACGCCGCGUGAGUGAUGAAGGUCUUCGGAUCGUAAAACUCUGUUAUUAGGGAAGAACAUAUGUGUAAGUAACUGUGCACAGCUUGACGGUACCUAAUCAGAAAGCCACGGCUAACUACGUG
Molecule: ribosomal RNA, 497 nt
Filed under: uncultured bacterium
Lineage: Bacteria
Description: partial 16S ribosomal RNA
Rfam family: Bacterial small subunit ribosomal RNA
Source: RNAcentral